This 2633-nucleotide long non-coding RNA is filed under the name Sus scrofa (pig). RNAcentral's name for it is "lncRNA (ENSSSCG00035049104.1)". Lineage: Eukaryota; Metazoa; Chordata; Mammalia; Artiodactyla; Suidae. The record is from RNAcentral.
AUUUUUUAAAGUUUUAUUGAAGCACAUUGGUUUACAAUGUUGUGAUCAUUUCUGCUGUACUACAAAGUGAUUCAGGUAUACAAAUACACACAUGCAUUCUUUUCCCAUGUGGAUGAUCACAGAAUAUUAGAUAGGUUCCCUUCUUACCUCAUAGAAAUAAGUAUAACUAAAAUUUGGCAAAAGCCUGCACAUUCUUCUGGCUAUUGGGAUGAGUGCAACAGAAAAGGUAACUUUCCAUUUCAUCUCAAGAAAGUGGAUAACUCAUCUUGUUUACCCUGCAACCCUGCCUUGCACACAGACAUCUGUAGUUAUAUUUGCCGUUGUAAAAUUAAUAGCCCGUGUGGUUCCCAGAAAGGGAACUUGGAAAGGGAACUUCCCACCACACACUGUAUAGUUGGAAACAGCUGGCCCCAAGGCCUGGGGAAGAUGCUGACUGCUGCUGAAGCAUUUUCCAUGGGUCAUUGCCAUCCUUUGAGCACCAGACCAGCCCACCAGCUCUUCAUGACGUGAUUAAAAACCCCCGAACAGGUGGUUGCUGCUCCACUUCAUUUCUUCAUCCAAAACAUUUCCUGAAGAUCAUAUCAAUGAGCACCACAUAAAGGCAAACACAAAAGUUCCAGAUCUGGAGUUUCCAUCGUGGCUCAGUGGAAACAAAUCUGACUAGUGUCCAUGAGGUUGCAGGUUCAAUGCCUGGCCUUGCUCAGUGGGUUAAGGAUCCAGCAUUGCCGAGAGCUGUGGUGCAGGUCACAGAAGUGGCUCGAAUUUGGCAUUGUUGUGGCUGAGGUGUAGGCCCACAGCUGUAGCUCCGAUUUGACCCCUGACCUGGGAACGUCCACAUGCCACAAGUGUGGCCCUAAAAAGACCAAAAAAAAAAAGUUCCAGAUCCAAAACAAGGACAUCCAGGAGUUCCCGUAGUGGCAUAUCGGAAAUGAAUCCGACUAGGAACCAUGGGGUUGCGGGUUCAAUCCCUGGCCUUGCUCAGUGGGCUACGGAUGCAGCAUUGCUGAGAGCUGUGGUGUAGACGGCAGACGAGGUUCGGAUCCUGCUUUGCUAUGGCUGUGACUUUGCUCACAGAGGUACACAUCCUGACCCCUAGAAACUUACAUGAGAAAAACAAACUAUAGAUGUGAUUAAGCCUACUAACUUUGGGAGUUCCCACUGUGGCUCAAUGGAAACAAACCCAACUAGUAGCCAUGAGGUUGUGGGUUCUAUCCCUGGCCUCGCUCAGUGGGUCAAGGAUCCAGCAUCACCAUGAGCUGUGGUGUAGUCUAUAGAUGCAGCUCGGAACUUGAGUUGCUAUGGCUGUGGUGUAGGCCAGCAGCUGUAGCUCCCAUUCAACCCCUAGCCUGGGAAAUUCCAUAUGCUGAGGGUGCAGCCCUGAAAAAAAAAAAAAAGGCUACUGACCUUCUUCUGCAGUUCAAUACCAAAAAAACAAACAAUCCUAUCAAAAAAUGGGCAGAAGAUCUAAAGAGACAGUUCUCCAGAGAAGACAUACUGAUGGCCCAAAAACACAUGAAAAGAUGUUCAACAUCACUCAUUAUUAGAGAAAUGCAAAUCAAACCACUAUGAGGUACCACCUUACACCGGCCAGAACGGCCAUCAUCAAAAAAUCUACAAACAGUAAGUGCUGGAGAGGGUGUGGAGAAAAAGGAACCCUAUUACGCUGUUGGGGGGAAUGUAAAUUGGUGCAACCACUAUGGAAAACAGUAUGGAGAUGCCUCAGAAAACUAAAAAUAGAACUGCCAUUUGAUCCAGCAAUCCCACUCCUGGGCAUCUAACCAGAGAAAACCAUGGUUUGAAAAGACACAUGUACUCCAAUGUUCAUUGCAGCACCCUAUACAAUAGCCAAGACAUGGAAACAACAUAAAUGACCAUCAACAGAGGAGUGGCUCAAGAUGUGGUACAUAAACACAAUGGAAUAUUACUCAGCCAUUUAAAGGAAAGAAAUAAUGGCAUUUGCAACAACAUGGAUAGACCUGGAAAUUAUCAUGCUAAGAGAGUCAGUGAGACACCAACAUCAAAUGCUAUCACUGACAUGUGGAAUCUAAAAAAAGGACACAAUGAACCUCUCUGCAGAACAGAUACUGACUCACGGACUUUGAAAAACUUAUGGUUUCCAAAUGAGACAGGUUCCGGCGGGAGAAUGCACUGGGGUUUGGGAUGGAAAUGCUAUAAAAUUUGGUUGUGAUGAUCGCUGUACAACUAUAAAUGUAAUAAGAUACAUUGAGUAAUAAAAGAAAAAAGAAAAAAAAAAAAAAAAAGGCUACUGACCUUGACACAGGAGACUAUUCUACAUCACUGGGAGAUGCAGUCUAAUUAAAUGUGUCCUUAAAACUGGAGAGCCUUUCCCAACAGUGAUCAGAGAGAAAGGCAGAAGGUUUGAAGAGAUUCCAUGUGAGGACUCAACCCGAUGCUGCUGGCUUUGAGGAUGGAGGGGUGGGGGCACAAGCCAAGGAAUGUAAUGGCCUUGAGAAGCUGGGAACAGCUUUCAGUUUAUAACUAACAACAAAAUGAGGACCUCAUUCCCACAGAUGCAAGAAACUGAAUUCUACCAACAACCCAAACAAGUAGGAAACUUCUUCUCUAGAAACUCUGGAAAGGAAUACAGGGUGGAGACUCUUUGAUUUUAGCCC